Long non-coding RNA from Oxyura jamaicensis (ruddy duck), 248 nucleotides. RefSeq lists it as uncharacterized. The record is from RefSeq and is a predicted model, not a curated record. The transcript has 5 exons. NCBI's taxonomy places the organism in Eukaryota, Metazoa, Chordata, Aves, Anseriformes, Anatidae.
UUUUAUUUGAAUUAUGAAGCAGUGCAGAAUGAUACAUGAGAAAUGAUGCCUUUGGAAUCCAUUUGCAGCUCAUCUCCUCAGUAGGGAUGGAGAAGGGCCUGGACAGAGCUUUCUUCACAUAUAGCAAUGGAAAUUCACAAAUCCUGAUCUUUUGCCGCAUAUUUCUGCUUGUCUACUUGUACGUCUGGAAGCUAUUUCUUGAUCUUUCUAACUGACCAAUAUCAAAGCUGUGGCUUGAUUUGUUAUCG